This 123-nucleotide ribosomal RNA is filed under the name Isorchis currani. RNAcentral describes it as "partial 5.8S ribosomal RNA". It matches the Rfam family "5.8S ribosomal RNA", at positions 33 to 154 of the family's 154-position model. From Rfam's summary of the family: 5.8S ribosomal RNA (5.8S rRNA) is a component of the large subunit of the eukaryotic ribosome. Lineage: Eukaryota; Metazoa; Platyhelminthes; Trematoda; Plagiorchiida; Atractotrematidae. RNAcentral also lists the same sequence under 1 other name. The record is from RNAcentral.
UGUCGAUGAAGAGCGCAGCCAACUGUGUGAAUUAAUGUGAACUGCAAACUGCUUUGAACAUCGACAUCUUGAACGCAAAUUGCGGCCACGGGUUAGCCUGUGGCCACGCCUGUCCGAGGGUCG